GGGUCUCGAACAUCACUCCGAAGCGCUCGGGAGUCGUGAGCUUCUU
RNAcentral lists this small RNA (46 nucleotides) under Sinorhizobium meliloti 2011. RNAcentral describes it as "putative ncRNA". Lineage: Bacteria; Pseudomonadati; Pseudomonadota; Alphaproteobacteria; Hyphomicrobiales; Rhizobiaceae. The record is from RNAcentral.